AUUGAACGCUGGCGGCAGGCUUAACACAUGCAAGUCGAGCGGGGUGAUGGUGCUUGCACUAUCACUUAGCGGCGGACGGGUGAGUAAUGCUUAGGAAUCUGCCUAUUAGUGGGGGACAACAUCUCGAAAGGGAUGCUAAUACCGCAUACGUCCUACGGGAGAAAGCAGGGGAUCGCUUGUGACCUUGCGCUAAUAGAUGAGCCUAAGUCGGAUUAGCUAGUUGGUGUGGUAAAGGCCUACCAAGGCGACGAUCUGUAGCGGGUCUGAGAGGAUGAUCCGCCACACUGGGACUGAGACACGACCCAGACUCCUACGGGAGGCAGCAGUGGGGAAUAUUGGACAAGGGGGGGAACCCUGAUCCAGCCAUGCCGCGUGUGUGAAGAAGGCCUUAUGGUUGUAAAGCACUUUAAGCGAGGAGGAGGCUCUUUUGGUUAAUACCCAAGAUGAGUGGACGUUACUCGCAGAAUAAGCACCGGCUAACUCUGUGCCAGCAGCCGCCGUAA
RNAcentral lists this ribosomal RNA (503 nucleotides) under uncultured bacterium. Its description in RNAcentral is "partial 16S ribosomal RNA". It matches the Rfam family "Bacterial small subunit ribosomal RNA", at positions 30 to 523 of the family's 1533-position model. The record is from RNAcentral.